Molecule: long non-coding RNA, 529 nt
Filed under: Columba livia (rock pigeon)
Lineage: Eukaryota; Metazoa; Chordata; Aves; Columbiformes; Columbidae
Description: partial uncharacterized LOC102098500
Source: RNAcentral
AGGGGCUUUGUUCCUGAUCUACCUGUGUAUCGGGAAGAGCUGCUCCAGAUCCAUUUCCAAGAGCAAGACUAUGUCCAAAAUGGUGUAAAUCAGGAACAUGACUGUUGAACAAGGAGCGAAAGAGCCAGGAGAUCUGAGUCUUCCACCUGUGCUUCCAGCUACCUGCUUCAUAUCGCUGUGUUUGCCCCUCUGUCAAACAGCGCAGCGGGGAGCAAAAGGGAACAAGACAUGGGGGAUGGAGAGACACAAGGGAGAAACAAGAUAACGUGGGGAUUGAUCUGUCCAAAGGGCAGAGGAACAUUUACGAUGUAAAAUUACAGCGCCUAUUACUCGGGAGUGCUGCACGCCAUGGUGAUUCAGCAUGACUGGGACCGAGGGAACAACUAGAGCCUGUUAGCCGGAUCCCUCCACUUUCACACCUCCACGUGGCUUUGCAGCAAAUCAAAAUGCAACAAAUGGCUUUGCAUCAUUUCUUCAAGGAGUCCUGGGCCUUGUACGUUAUCUUGAGGGCAGGGUAUGUGCUAUAAUA